Molecule: ribosomal RNA, 821 nt
Filed under: Cadophora sp.
Lineage: Eukaryota; Fungi; Ascomycota; Leotiomycetes; Helotiales; Ploettnerulaceae
Description: partial large subunit ribosomal RNA
Rfam family: Eukaryotic large subunit ribosomal RNA
Source: RNAcentral
AACGGCGAGUGAAGCGGUAACAGCUCAAAUUUGAAAGCUAGCUCUUUUAGGGUUCGCAUUGUAAUUUGUAGAAGAUGCUUCGGGUGUGGCCCCGGUCUAAGUUCCUUGGAACAGGACGUCAUAGAGGGUGAGAAUCCCGUAUGUGACUGGGUGCUUUCGCUCAUGUGAAGCUCUUUCGACGAGUCGAGUUGUUUGGGAAUGCAGCUCAAAAUGGGUGGUAAAUUUCAUCUAAAGCUAAAUAUUGGCCAGAGACCGAUAGCGCACAAGUAGAGUGAUCGAAAGAUGAAAAGCACUUUGGAAAGAGAGUUAAACAGUACGUGAAAUUGUUGAAAGGGAAGCGCUUGCAACCAGACUUGCGCGCUGAUGAUCAUCCGGGCUUCUGCCCGGUGCACUCGUCUGCGCUCAGGCCAGCAUCGGUUUCGGUGGUGGGAUAAAGGCCUUGGGAAUGUAGCUUCUUUCGGGGAGUGUUAUAGCCCUCGGUGCAAUGCCGCCUACCGGGACCGAGGACCGCGCUUCGGCUAGGAUGCUGGCGUAAUGGUUGUAAGCGACCCGUCUUGAAACACGGACCAAGGAGUCUAACAUCUAUGCGAGUGUUUGGGUGUCAAACCCAUACGCGUAAUGAAAGUGAACGGAGGUGAGAACCCUUAAGGGUGCAUCAUCGACCGAUCCUGAUGUCUUCGGAUGGAUUUGAGUAAGAGCAUAGCUGUUGGGACCCGAAAGAUGGUGAACUAUGCGUGAAUAGGGUGAAGCCAGAGGAAACUCUGGUGGAGGCUCGCAGCGGUUCUGACGUGCAAAUCGAUCGUCAAAUUUGCGUAUAGGGG